UCUUCUCUUCUUCAGUGGAAGAGCAUCUGCUUGGUGUGCAGAAGGACUCAGGUUUAAUUCCUGACAUCUCCAGUAAAGAU
This 80-nucleotide transfer RNA is filed under the name Sphaerodactylus townsendi. Its description in RNAcentral is "tRNA-Thr". The record is from RNAcentral. Lineage: Eukaryota; Metazoa; Chordata; Lepidosauria; Squamata; Sphaerodactylidae.